GCUUACUUUCAGUGGUUUUUAGUAAAUUCUUAAGGUUGUACAACUAUCACCACCAUCUAAUUCCAGAAUAUUUUCAUCACCCCAAAAAGAAAUCCCAGACUCAUCAGCAGUCACUGCCAUUCCAUACUGUCUUAUUCUCUGGUAACCGCUAAUUGACUCUCCCUCUUUGUGGAUUUGUUUCUAGUGGACAUGCCACGUGAAUGGAAUCACAUAAUAGGUGGUCCUUGUGUCUUUGACUUAGCACAUUCUCAAGGUUCAUCCGUGUUGUAGCAUGUAUCAGGACUUCACUCCUUUAAAGAUACAGUUUUCACAAGCUCCCCAGCUAGUUCUGAUGAGUGGGCUUUGGGAGAAAAAGAGGAGCCAAUUCAUAUCAGGUGAUUCUUGGGUUAUUAUUGAGACAAGGGGAUUGUCUCAACUCGAAGACUUUAAUGUACAUUAUGCUCUUGGAAAAACAUCUCCAAGGAAACAAGUGG
RNAcentral lists this long non-coding RNA (473 nucleotides) under Homo sapiens (human). RNAcentral describes it as "HSALNT0266743". The record is from RNAcentral. Lineage: Eukaryota; Metazoa; Chordata; Mammalia; Primates; Hominidae.